RNAcentral lists this ribosomal RNA (477 nucleotides) under uncultured Glomus. RNAcentral's name for it is "SSU rRNA". It matches the Rfam family "Eukaryotic small subunit ribosomal RNA", at positions 569 to 1051 of the family's 1831-position model. The record is from RNAcentral. Lineage: Eukaryota; Fungi; Glomeromycota; Glomeromycetes; Glomerales; Glomeraceae.
AGCAGCCGCGGUAAUUCCAGCUCCAAUAGCGUAUAUUAAAGUUGUUGCAGUUAAAAAGCUCGUAGUUGAAUUUCGAGACCGGUUUAUUGGUCGUGCUUUUGUACGUACUGGUAUUAUUGGUUUCUCCUUUCUGACGAAUCUUAAUGCCAUUAAUUUGGUGUUUUGGGGAAUCUGGACUGUUACUUUGAAAAAAUUAGAGUGUUUAAAGCAGGCUCACGCUUGAAUACAUUAGCAUGGAAUAACGGAAUAGGACGUUUGAUUCUAUUUUGUUGGUUUCUAGGAUCGACGUAAUGAUUAAUAGGGAUAGUUGGGGGCAUUAGUAUUCAAUUGUCAGAGGUGAAAUUCUUGGAUUUAUUGAAGACUAACUACUGCGAAAGCAUUUGCCAAGGAUGUUUUCAUUAAUCAAGAACGAAAGUUAGGGGAUCGAAGACGAUCAGAUACCGUCGUAGUCUUAACCAUAAACUAUGCCGACUAGGG